UCCGCAAUGCGGCAGCCUAACACAUGCAAGUCGAGCGGUAACAGAUCUAGCUUGCUAGAUGCUGACGAGCGGCGGACGGGUGAGUAAUGCAUAGGAAUCUACCCGGUAGUGGGGGAUAACCUGGGGAAACCCAGGCUAAUACCGCAUACGUCCUACGGGAGAAAGGGGGCUUUGGCUCCCGCUAUCGGAUGAGCCUAUGCCGGAUUAGCUGGUUGGUGAGGUAACGGCUCACCAAGGCGACGAUCCGUAGCUGGUCUGAGAGGAUGAUCAGCCACAUCGGGACUGAGACACGGCCCGAACUCCUACGGGAGGCAGCAGUGGGGAAUAUUGGACAAUGGGGGCAACCCUGAUCCAGCCAUGCCGCGUGUGUGAAGAAGGCCCUCGGGUUGUAAAGCACUUUCAGCGAGGAAGAACGCCUGGUGGUUAAUACCCGCCAGGAAAGACAUCACUCGCAGAAGAAGCACCGGCUAACUCCGUGCCAGCAGCCGCGGUAAUACGGAGGGUGCAAGCGUUAAUCGGAAUUACUGGGCGUAAAGCGCGCGUAGGUGGCUUGAUAAGCCGGUUGUGAAAGCCCCGGGCUCAACCUGGGAACGGCAUCCGGAACUAUCAGGCUAGAGUGCAGGAGAGGAAGGUAGAAUUCCCGGUGUAGCGGUGAAAUGCGUAGAGAUCGGGAGGAAUACCAGUGGCGAAGGCGGCCUUCUGGACUGACACUGACACUGAGGUGCGAAAGCGUGGGUAGCAAACAGGAUUAGAUACCCUGGUAGUCCACGCCGUAAACGAUGUCGACCAGCCGUUGGGUGCCUAGCGCACUUUGUGGCGAAGUUAACGCGAUAAGUCGACCGCCUGGGGAGUACGGCCGCAAGGUUAAAACUCAAAUGAAUUGACGGGGGCCCGCACAAGCGGUGGAGCAUGUGGUUUAUUUCGAUGCAACGCGAAGAACCUUACCUACUCCUUGACCAUCUACAGAAGCUCGAGAGAGAUCUCUGUGGUGCCUUCCGGGAACUGUUAGACAGGUGCUUGCAUAGCUGUCGUCAGCCUCGUGUUGUGAAAUGUUGGGUUAAGUCCCGUAACGAGCGCCACCCCUUGUCCUUAUAUUGCCAGCCGGGUAAUGGCCGGAAACUCUUAAGGAGACUGCCCGGUGACAACCCGGAAGGAAGUGGGGAACGACGUUCCAGCCAUCUAUGCCCCUUACGGGAUAGGCUCACACGUGCCUUCAUUGCCGGGAAACUAGGGCCUGCAAGCUCCGAGAUUCACGCAUCAUAAGCCGGCUCGAUGUCCCGGCAUACGGAAGUCUCGAUGCACAUCG
RNAcentral lists this ribosomal RNA (1306 nucleotides) under Halomonas sp. HL87. Its description in RNAcentral is "bacterial SSU rRNA". It matches the Rfam family "Bacterial small subunit ribosomal RNA", at positions 32 to 1314 of the family's 1533-position model. The record is from RNAcentral. Lineage: Bacteria; Pseudomonadati; Pseudomonadota; Gammaproteobacteria; Oceanospirillales; Halomonadaceae.